CCUACGGGCGGCAGCAGUGGGGGAUCUUGCACAAUGGGGGAAACCCUGAUGCAGCGACGCCGCGUGUGGGAAGACGGUCCUCUGGAUUGUAAACCACUGUCCCCAGGGACGAAGAUGACGGUACCUGGGGAGGAAGCUCCGGCUAAAUACGUGCCAGCAGCCCCGGUAAUACGUAGGGAGCGAGCGUUGUCCGGAAUUACUGGGUGUAAAGGGAGCGUAGGCGGUAAUGCAAGUUGGGGGGCAAGUCUACCGGAUAAACCGGUAGCCGCAUUCAAAACUGCAGUGCUUGAGUGAAGUAGAGGCAGGCGGAAUUCCUAGUGUAGCGGUGAAAUGCGUAGAUAUUAGGAGGAACACCAGUGGCGAAGGCGGCCUUCUGGGCUUUUACUGACGCUGAGGCUCGAAAGUGUGGGGAGCAAACAGGAUUAGAUACCCGGGUAGUC
Molecule: ribosomal RNA, 440 nt
Filed under: uncultured bacterium
Lineage: Bacteria
Description: partial 16S ribosomal RNA
Rfam family: Bacterial small subunit ribosomal RNA
Source: RNAcentral